GAUGAACGCUGGCGGCGUGCCUAAUACAUGCAAGUCGAGCGAACAGAUGAGGAGCUUGCUCCUCUGACGUUAGCGGCGGACGGGUGAGUAACACGUGGAUAACCUACCUAUAAGACUGGGAUAACUUCGGGAAACCUGAGCUAAUACCGGAUAAUAUAUUGAACCGCAUGGUUCAAUAGUGAAAGACGGUUUUGCUGUCACUUAUAGAUGGAUCCGCGCCGCAUUAGCUAGUUGGUAAGGUAACGGCUUACCAAGGCAACGAUGCGUAGCCGACCUGAGAGGGUGAUAGGCCACACGGGAACUGAGACACGGUCAAGACUCCUACGGGAGGCAGCAGUAGGGAAUAUUCCGCAAGGGGCGAAAGCAUGACGGAGAAAAGCCGCGUGAGUGAUGAAGGACUUAGGAGCGUAAAACUCUGUUAUUAGGGAAGAAAAAAUGUGUAAGUAAAUAUGCACGUAUUGACGGUACCUAAUCAGAAAGCAACGGCUAACUACGUG
This 497-nucleotide ribosomal RNA is filed under the name uncultured bacterium. RNAcentral's name for it is "partial 16S ribosomal RNA". It matches the Rfam family "Bacterial small subunit ribosomal RNA", at positions 28 to 507 of the family's 1533-position model. The record is from RNAcentral.